Molecule: ribosomal RNA, 415 nt
Filed under: uncultured prokaryote
Description: bacterial SSU rRNA
Rfam family: Bacterial small subunit ribosomal RNA
Source: RNAcentral
UGAGGAAUUUUGCGCAAUGGGGGGAACCCUGACGCAGCAACGCCGCGUGGGUGAUGAAGGCCUUCGGGUCGUAAAGCCCUGUCGGGCGGGAAGAACGUCCCUUCGGGGAAUGACGGUACCGCCAGAGGAAGCACCGGCUAACUCCGUGCCAGCAGCCGCGGUAAUACGGAGGGUGCAAGCGUUAUUCGGAAUUACUGGGCGUCAAGGGCGGGCAGGCGGGAGAGCAAGUCUGCUGUGAAAGCCCGGGGCUUAACCCCGGAAGGGCAUUGGAAACUGCUUUUCUUGAGUUCUGGAGAGGAAGGGAGAAUUCCCGGUGUAGAGGUGAAAUUCGUAGAGAUCGGGAGGAACAUCAGUGGCGAAAGCGCCCUUCUGGACAGCAACUGACGCUGAGACGCGAAAGCGUGGGGAGCAAACA